This is a long non-coding RNA of Brassica napus (rape), 2670 nucleotides long. RefSeq lists it as uncharacterized. The record is from RefSeq and is a predicted model, not a curated record. The transcript is spliced from 2 exons. NCBI's taxonomy places the organism in Eukaryota, Viridiplantae, Streptophyta, Magnoliopsida, Brassicales, Brassicaceae.
AUUUUAUUUGGAAAUUCAAUUUUGUUUCCUUUUUUAAAAGAUAUCAAAUAUCAAAUACUCAAACACUAUUGGUUGGUGAAUCUAGGGAUGAACCCAAGAAUUUCUUUUUUUUUUUAUUUAUGAGUUCAACACCUUUUGUUAUUCUUGGUAAUAUGGAUGGUGAUGGUGGUUAGCGAAUUAAUUGUAAAAACACAUUAACUACGUUUAUAACAAACUUUUGGAAAGAAAUCAAAACUCACACAAUCUUAUCAAUACACAUUAUUAUUUUAAUACAGAAUCAUUAUUAAAUCUCAUAAUCACAGGAAAUCUUAAUCUGAAAAGGAAAGGAGUAUAAUUAAUUGUAUCAACAUUAGCAAUAUUUCUCUAUACCUUACAAACAAAAAAAAUAAAACCUAUAACAAACCUCACCUCUUUCAAAACGCAUCUUCCUCUCCCACAGCCGCAAGAAACGUACACGACCAUUUUCGCAGGUCAGUGACAGAGGUGAGAAGGGAGGGAGCCGUUGAGUUUGUUGGAGUAAAGGUCGAAGCUUUAAAACCUACUCGACCAUCUUCGCGACCAGUGACAGAGGUGAGAAGGGAGGGAGGUAAGGAUCGGCUCUGUAAGAAGCUUUGUAAGCAUAAUGGUUACGCCACUGCUCCGACCAACCCGUUCAAUCUGCAGGUAAAUAUGUUAACUUCGUUCUCACUCCUCACCAGCAUCACCCUAUCCAAUCGAAAACAAAUCCUACAUGCUUGAUGUCUAUUUUCUAAUACAAUUUUAUACUGUUGCUCUGAUUUUUAGAACAAUUAUUUGGUGCCUGUUGCUUUGGUGCCUAUUGUUAUAUAUUUAUCUCUUAUAAUACUGUUUGUGUGGUUAAUUAUAUUAUUGGUGCAAAAUUUUAUAAAAUCGUAUUUCUUAAAAAAACUUGAAAAUAUUAGCAAUUCGAUUUGACAAAUUAUUUUUUUUUGUUUAUUGUAAUUUUCUUAGAUACUAUUAAAACGUAAAAAUUAUAACCGAAUUGAUUAGUUUUAGAAUGUCAUAGAAUUUAAUAUCUCUUUCUAAUUUAUUUAAAAUAAUACAUAAAUUUAUUUUUCUAAUAUAACAAUGCAAAUUUUUAAUAUCAUUAACUGUAACAUAUUUUGUAUUUACGUUUACGAGUUAAAACUAAAUUAAAACUUAAUUACAACGUAAAUUUCUGAUAGAUACAAUAACCAAUUUUGGAAAUCUGUUUUCAAAAAAAAAAAGAUUCCAAAGAUUUCAAGAAGAUUUGUUAUUGUUUGAUUAUUAAUAUUUGUACCUUGAAUAAACUAAAAUAAAGAUAUGGUGCUAAUAUUAUAAAUCCAUUUCAUAAAAAAGUUGCUAUAUUUGAAAACAACAUUUAAACGAAAAUCUUCCAGAGAUCGAUUAUACUAACAUUAAAUGUAACAUAUAAUGAAUGCAAAUUUUUAAUAUAAUUAAAUGUAACAUAUUUAAUAUUUACGUUUACAAAUUAAAACUAAAUUAAGAUUUAAUUGCAAAGUAUAUUUCAGAUAGAUAAAAUAACCAUUUGUGGAAAAUCUGUUUUCAAAAAAAAGAUUCCAAAGAUUUCAAGAAGAUUUGUUAUUGUUUGCUUAUAAAUUAUGGUAUCUUGAAUAAACUAAAAUAAAGAUAUUACAAUAUAUUAUAAAUCCAUUUUAUAUAAAAGUUGCUAUAUUUAAAAUCACAUGCUCAUUGCAACAGCUACAUAAAAUAAAUAGAACAAUGCUAUAUAUAUUUUGAUGAAAAUUUAGUUUAAUUACUUAAUUUAAUAAACAAAAUUUUAAUAUAUUUAUCUCUUAUAAUACUGUUUGCGUGGGUAAUUAUAUUAUUGGAUGCUGAUCAUUAACGCUAUUGAUCCUGAGAGCACGACCUCCACUACGCCACAUUCAAGACAAUCCCUUCUUCCUCCGUGUUAGCUGAUCUUGACCUAUAAAUAGAGCAAGCUUUAUUGAUAUGACAUGCUCCCCAUUCUCCCAUUCGUAGAUUUUACCUUCUCAUAGAAACCAGCUACUCGCAUCAUUCAAUGGAAAACAAAACGGUGAAAUCAACCGGUAAGACCCCUAUUGUUGCUGUCGCUGCUAUAACUGUGGCCUCUUGAGAUUCUGCCAAGAUGGUUGAAUCCAAACCAACAGGUUGAAUCCUUUCGUGAAUCAUCCUUAGGUGAUGCAUUUACGUUUAAAGUACUUCUAUAUUUCAAUCCAUAAUUGGAUACGUUUAUGCUUUUGUUCACACUUCUCAGAUCAGAAAACGAAUGCACACAACCAAGAUAUGCAUUAUAAGCUAAGACUAAGCUGGUGUUGAAGAAGAAGACAGAAUCUGGAGAAAAAAUCUGAGAAAAAUAAAUCCAUCUGAAAAAAAAUUAUGAGGAAGAAAUGUAUCAGACCAAGCAAAGGGAAAGAGGAAGAAGAAGAGUGUUGGUACAAAGUUGUUUCUUUAGGAGCUUGGUUUAUCGGGAUUGAAGUUGAACAUAUUGAUGAUAGACGAUUAUGCGGCGGCCCCUAAUUACGAUAAUAUAUACUUUGAAACUAAAGCCUUGAAGUGAAGAGAUCCCUAUCUUAAAAGAGAUGUCUUGUCCUUAUGGUGAUUGAGCGUAUAAAUCAAAGGAACCAUAAACUUUUAUCCAAAUAAGAAAGAUAUGUUGAGCAAUGUUAUUGAGGUUAAAUAUGAAAA